UGGGGAAUCUUGCACAAUGGGCGAAAGCCUGAUGCAGCGACGCCGCGUGGGGGAUGAAGCUUCUCGGAGUGUAAACCCCUUUCGACCGGGACGAAUACCUCGCAAGAGGGGUGACGGUACCGGUAUAAGAAGCCCCGGCUAACUACGUGCCAGCAGCCGCGGUAAGACGUAGGGGGCCAGCGUUGCUCGGAAUUACUGGGUGUAAAGGGUUCGUAGGCGGUGUGGCAAGUCGGGAGUGAAAUCUCUGGGCUCAACUCAGGGGCUGCUUCCGAAACUGCCGUGCUAGAGUGUGGGAGGGGCGCGUGGAAUUGCAGGUGUAGCGGUGAAAUGCGUAGAUAUCUGCAGGAACACCCGUGGCGAAAGCGGCGCGCUGGACCACUACUGACGCUGAGGAACGAAAGCUAGGGGAGCAAACAGGAUUAGAUACCCUGGUAGUCCUAGCCCUAAACGAUCAGGACUUGGGGUGCCACCCGUUCGGGUGUCGUCCCGGAGCUAACGCGUUAAGUCCUGCACCUGGGGAGUACGGUCGCAAGACUGA
This 538-nucleotide ribosomal RNA is filed under the name uncultured Acidobacteriota bacterium. RNAcentral describes it as "bacterial SSU rRNA". It matches the Rfam family "Bacterial small subunit ribosomal RNA", at positions 355 to 897 of the family's 1533-position model. Lineage: Bacteria; Pseudomonadati; Acidobacteriota. The record is from RNAcentral.